This 427-nucleotide ribosomal RNA is filed under the name uncultured bacterium. Its description in RNAcentral is "partial 16S ribosomal RNA". It matches the Rfam family "Bacterial small subunit ribosomal RNA", at positions 354 to 796 of the family's 1533-position model. The record is from RNAcentral.
GUGGGGAAUAUUGGGCAAUGGGGGAAACCCUGACCCAGCAACGCCGCGUGAGUGAAGAAGGCCUUCGGGUUGUAAAGCUCUGUCAUUAGGGAAGAAGAAGUGACGGUACCUAAUGAGGAAGCCCCGGCUAACUACGUGCCAGCAGCCGCGGUAAUACGUAGGGGGCGAGCGUUGUCCGGAAUUACUGGGCGUAAAGGGUGCGUAGGCGGCGUGUUAAGUUGGAUGUGAAAUACCCGGGCUUAACCUGGGGGGUGCAUUCGAUACUGGCAGGCUAGAGUGCAGGAGAGGGAAGCGGAAUUCCUAGUGUAGCGGUGAAAUGCGUAGAUAUUAGGAGGAACACGAGUGGCGAAGGCGGCUUUCUGGACUGUAACUGACGCUGAUGCACGAAAGCGUGGGGAGCAAACAGGAUUAGAUACCCCUGUAGUCC